AAGCGUGCGAUUGGAUUGCACGUCUAAGCAGUAAGGCUGAGUAUUAGGCAAAUCCGGUACUCGUUAAGGCUGAGCUGUGAUGGGGAGAAGACAUUGUGUCUUCGAGUCGUUGAUUUCACACUGCCGAGAAAAGCCUCUAGAUAGAAAAUAGGUGCCCGUACCGCAAACCGACACAGGUAGUCAAGAUGAGAAUUCUAAGGUGAGCGAGCGAACUCUCGUUAAGGAACUCGGCAAAAUGACCCCGUAACUUCGGGAGAAGGGGUGCUCUUUAGGGUUAACGCCCAGAAGAGCCGCAGUGAAUAGGCCCAAGCGACUGUUUAUCAAAAACACAGGUCUCUGCUAAACCGUAAGGUGAUGUAUAGGGGCUGACGCCUGCCCGGUGCUGGAAGGUUAAGAGGAGUGGUUAGCUUCUGCGAAGCUACGAAUCGAAGCCCCAGUAAACGGCGGCCGUAACUAUAACGGUCCUAAGGUAGCGAAAUUCCUUGUCGGGUAAGUUCCGACCCGCACGAAAGGCGUAACGAUUUGGGCACUGUCUCAACGAGAGACUCGGUGAAAUCAUAGUACCUGUGAAGAUGCAGGUUACCCGCGACAGGACGGAAAGACCCCGUGGAGCUUUACUGUAGCCUGAUAUUGAAAUUCGGCACAGCUUGUACAGGAUAGGUAGGAGCCUUUGAAACGUGAGCGCUAGCUUACGUGGAGGCGCUGGUGGGAUACUACCCUAGCUG
This 725-nucleotide ribosomal RNA is filed under the name Staphylococcus aureus. RNAcentral describes it as "partial 23S ribosomal RNA". It matches the Rfam family "Bacterial large subunit ribosomal RNA", at positions 1488 to 2211 of the family's 2925-position model. Lineage: Bacteria; Bacillati; Bacillota; Bacilli; Caryophanales; Staphylococcaceae. The record is from RNAcentral.